Molecule: long non-coding RNA, 153 nt
Organism: Drosophila willistoni
Lineage: Eukaryota; Metazoa; Arthropoda; Insecta; Diptera; Drosophilidae
Exons: 2
Source: RefSeq, a predicted model, not a curated record
GUCACGCUCUUAUCGAAAUAUCAAAAAAUAAUCGAUAACAUUGAAAAGACGGUUAACAGACAAAAAUGGGUUAUCAAAAAAAGAAAAAUCCCUUUCUUCAAACAGCUUAAUUUAGGAGAUGUUGAAAUAAAGUUUAUUUAUUUUAUUUUGCCA